Molecule: ribosomal RNA, 1179 nt
Filed under: Ponticoccus litoralis
Lineage: Bacteria; Pseudomonadati; Pseudomonadota; Alphaproteobacteria; Rhodobacterales; Roseobacteraceae
Description: bacterial SSU rRNA
Rfam family: Bacterial small subunit ribosomal RNA
Source: RNAcentral
UAAUACCGCAUACGCCCUUCGGGGGAAAGAUUUAUCGGAGAAGGAUUAGCCCGCGUUACAUUAGGUAGUUGGUGGGGUAAUGGCCUACCAAGCCUACCAUCUAUAACUGGUUUUAGAGGAUGAUCAGCCCCACUGGGACUGAGACACAGCCCAGACUCCUACGGGAGGCAGCAGUGAGGAAUCUUAGACAAUGGGCGCAAGCAUGAUCUAGCCAUGCCGCGUGUGAUGAUGAAGGCCUUAGGGUCGUAAAGCACUUUCGCCAGAGAUGAUAAUGACAGUAUCUGGUAAAGAAACCCCGGCUAACUCCGUGCCAGCAGCCGCGGUAAUACGGAGGGGGUUAGCGUUGUUCGGAAUUACUGGGCGUAAAGCGCACGUAGGCGGACCAGCAAGUUGGGGGUGAAAUCCCCAGGCUCAACCCCGGAACUGCCUCCAAAACUGUUGGUCUUGAGUUCGAGAGAGGUGAGUGGAAUUCCGAGUGUAGAGGUGAAAUUCGUAGAUAUUCGGAGGAACACCAGUGGCGAAGGCGGCUCACUGGCUCGAUACUGACGCUGAGGUGCGAAAGUGUGGGGAGCAAACAGGAUUAGAUACCCUGGUAGUCCACACCGUAAACGAUGAAUGCCAGUCGUCGGGUUGCAUGCAAUUCGGUGACACACCUAACGGAUUAAGCAUUCCGCCUGGGGAGUACGGUCGCAAGAUUAAAACUCAAAGGAAUUGACGGGGGCCCGCACAAGCGGUGGAGCAUGUGGUUUAAUUCAAAGCAACGCGCAGAACCUUACCAACCCUUGACAUCCUGUGCUACAUCCAGAGAUGGACGGUUCCCUUCGGGGACGCAGUGACAGGUGCUGCAAGGGCUGUCGUCCAGCUCGUGUCGGGAGAUGUUCGGUUAAGUCCGGCAACGAGCGCAACCCACAUCUUCAGUUGCCAGCAGUUCGGCUGGGCACUCUGGAGAAACUGCCCGUGAUAAGCGGAAGGAAGCUGCGGAUGACGUCAAGUCCUCAUGGCCCUUACGGGUUGGGCUACACACGUGCUACAAUCGUAUCUACAAUGGGUUAAUCCCCAAAAGAUAUCUCAGUCCGGAUUGUCGUCUGCAACUCGACGGCAUGAAGUCCGAAUCGCUAGUAAUCGCGUAACAGCAUGACGCGGUGAAUACGUUCCCGGGCCUUGUACACACCGCCCGUC